This 875-nucleotide ribosomal RNA is filed under the name Phaeocollybia fallax. Its description in RNAcentral is "eukaryotic LSU rRNA". The stretch from base 614 to 875 matches the Rfam family "Eukaryotic large subunit ribosomal RNA", at positions 1 to 256 of the family's 3401-position model. Lineage: Eukaryota; Fungi; Basidiomycota; Agaricomycetes; Agaricales; Phaeocollybiaceae. The record is from RNAcentral.
CGGAAGGAUCAUUAUUGAAAUAAACUUGGUGUGGGUUGUAGCUGGCCUUUUGGCAAGUGCUCGCCUUCAUCAUCUUUAUAUUUCCACCUGUGCACCUUUUGUAGACCAGAAAGAAAAAUAGGGGAUUUUUUGUUGUGCCAUUUGGCCCAGUAAAUCUCUAAAAAGUAUUUCUUGUCUAUACUUUUAUAUACCCCAAAAAAUGUAACAGAAUGUUAAUCUAUGGGCCUUUGUGCCUAUAAACAAAAAUUAUACAACUUUCAGCAACGGAUCUCUUGGCUCUCGCAUCGAUGAAGAACGCAGCGAAAUGCGAUAAGUAAUGUGAAUUGCAGAAUUCAGUGAAUCAUCGAAUCUUUGAACGCACCUUGCGCUCCUUGGUAUUCCGAGGAGCAUGCCUGUUUGAGUGUCAUUAAAUUCUCAAAAAGCUUUUGGUAGUAAUAUCAAUGGCUUUCUUGGAUGUGAGGGUUUACUGUUGGCGUAAGUCAACUCCCUUGAAAUGAAUUAGCUUGGUUGAUUGGACUUUGUCUAUUGGUGUGAUAAUUAUCUACGCCAUUGGAUUGUCUGCUUAUCAAACUGCUUCUAAUUGUCCCUUUGGGACUAAUAAAAAAUGACCAUUUGACCUCAAAUCAGGUAGGACUACCCGCUGAACUUAAGCAUAUCAAUAAGCGGAGGAAAAGAAACUAACAAGGAUUCCCCUAGUAACUGCGAGUGAAGAGGGAAAAGCUCAAAUUUAAAAUCUGGCUUCCUUUGGUUGUCCGAGUUGUAAUCUAGAGAAGCGUCAUCCGCGCCGGACCGUGUACAAGUCUCCUGGAACGGAGCGUCAUAGAGGGUGAGAAUCCCGUCUUCGACACGGACUACCGGGGCUUUGUGAUGCGCUC